RNAcentral lists this transfer RNA (65 nucleotides) under Phyllidia elegans. RNAcentral describes it as "tRNA-Lys". The record is from RNAcentral. Lineage: Eukaryota; Metazoa; Mollusca; Gastropoda; Nudibranchia; Phyllidiidae.
UUUUCGGUGACCGAGACUAGGUGAAAGAUUUUUAAUCUUUUAACAGAAUUUAUUUCUCCGAAGAG